UACGUAGGGUGCGAGCGUUAAUCGGAAUUACUGGGCGUAAAGCGUGCGCAGGCGGCUUUGCAAGACAGAUGUGAAAUACCCGGGCUCAACCUGGGAACUGCAUUUGUGACUGCAAGGCUAGAGUACGGCAGAGGGGGAUGGAAUUCCGCGUGUAGCAGUGAAAUGCGUAGAUAUGCGGAGGAACACCAAUGGCGAAGGCAAUCCCCUGGGCCUGUACUGACGCUCAUGCACGAAAGCGUGGGGAGCAAACAGG
This 253-nucleotide ribosomal RNA is filed under the name uncultured bacterium. Its description in RNAcentral is "partial 16S ribosomal RNA". It matches the Rfam family "Bacterial small subunit ribosomal RNA", at positions 524 to 776 of the family's 1533-position model. The record is from RNAcentral.